Long non-coding RNA from Scophthalmus maximus (turbot), 4985 nucleotides. RefSeq lists it as uncharacterized. The record is from RefSeq and is a predicted model, not a curated record. The transcript is spliced from 5 exons. NCBI's taxonomy places the organism in Eukaryota, Metazoa, Chordata, Actinopteri, Pleuronectiformes, Scophthalmidae.
ACGCCACAUUAGACCUGGCAGACCACGCCCCCUCCCUGCUGACUCGGACAGACGCUGCUCGCCGCUGCACCGCCGUCGUUCUAAACAAGUUAUAAUGGUUAACAAGCAAAGGUCAGCAAACUUCUCUACUUAACAACAGCUAACAGCUAAUUUGGAGACCAAGACACACGAGCAGUUUCUCGAAAAGAGAGAAAGACCCAACUGAUGAAGGGAAAAAGAAUAAAGCAGUUAUCGUGAUGAAUUGAUCCAAUGCAAGAAACAACUCUUAAAGCAACAAGGGAUAGCAGCAAAGAAAGAGCAAGACUCAGCUUGCAUCUUCUACCACAGGAGACACAGCUGUAGCACAAAACUGAAGGACUGCAAUGGAAGACAUUAAAGGUAAAGUGAUAAGAAAGAUGGCCGUACUGUAGAAGUUACACAUAGGGUUAGUGUUGUCUUGUGAGAUCCAAUGAACGGUUGGUGUGUAAAUUACUUUUCUGUCCCUAGUAGUAGUAGAAGCAUAUAAAUAUCUUUGAGCAAGGCAGUUCCAUUUCAUACCAUCCAAAUAGGUCAACAUGCAAGGGUAUAUAAUAUUUCUAAUAGCAUCUAACACUUCACAGAAACUAUGAGCAUGAGGUUCUGCAGUAGGGGGUUGAACUGGAUAAAGGUUCCACCUUAAACGAAAGUUAUAGUUUUUAUUACAUGAACAAUCCACUUUUUCCAUCUCGAUUCUUCCAAGCAAAAGAAAGAUAAAAGAACACAUCCACAUCAUCAUUGCAAGGCUUAAUUUUCUUAUUUUUCUUUUUUUUUUAUAAGUUUCUUAAAUUGUUUAUGUUUUACAUGCGCUUAAAAAGCCAAUAAAGGACCCAAGGUGGACCUAGGGCGGUCUUCACACAUUCACAUCACCACAUGGGGUACGUUGUCAAGGCAAAAGAAAGGGCAGAGGUCAAAAGGUAAGGAGGGCGCCUCCGUCAUCUCUCUUUCUAUCGCUCUCUCCCACAGUGGGGGUUCACAUCCAACAAGUCUUACCAACUUCAAUGUCUAUCAUUUUCUGUUUAUCCUGCCGCGAUGCUCACUUUUUGUUCUGUUCCUGCUCUGCUUUAUCAGAUUUUUUUUUCUUUUUUUGAGGCUUGGAGAAGGCCGCCCCCUGCCGCCACUGAGGACAACUACACUAAUACAGACAAGAGCGCCUCAUCAGUUACAUACUGAAGAGUUGGGGUUUUGCCGUAUGCAACUAGCUACCAUCUCCAACGCUUGUGCAAAACAGAAAAGGGAACUGUUGAGUCGGGAGCCGGACACAAAGGUGAGCGGUGUGCCGAGAGCUGGAGAGACCCGGGACGAUGGAAAGAGAAAGGAGGAUCAGAUCACCUCACCCACAGAGCCUCUCACCUCGACACACUGAGCAGGGGGACUGAAGUUUGCCAAUAUGGCCAGCUUUCAAGAAAUCCCCCCUUGGCGCUCUCCCUGUGGUGAAGCUGAGGGGUCCCCCGCAUUGCACUGUGGGAGAUGCCAACCUCAGCCCCGGACCACCCUUCAGAUGUAUUCAGUGCGCCCUGGGAAGUGCGGUCCUCAGCUCUCCAGACUCAUGAAGGCCACCACCUGCUCCAGCUUGAAAGCCAACCUCUGUUUCCUGGCUGCAUCAUCCUGCUCCAGCGAACACACAAUCUGCCAACAGGACAGUGAGGUAAACACACAGAAUAACAAAACCUCAGUUAAACUUACUAAUCAAUACGGCAAUACGAUGUCCCAAUGUGUUCUGUAUUUGCUUACUUAACUCUAGUGGGAAUAAAAGAAAAAUACGACAGAAACACAAUCUAUACCUUCAAGAUAGUACCUUCCUCCUUUUGCAUUACAUUAAUUUUCCUGGCAGGGUAUUGAACCCCCCGUCACUGCACCAAAGUCAGUGGUGUAACCCACUAAGCUGCCUAAUAAUUUCAUAUGUGAGCACUGGGAAUUGAACCUCUGCCGCCCGCGCUCUGGACAACAUUACUAACUAUUACAACAACGUGUUAUCCUCCUUGUGGAGGAGUGCAGCUUUAGGCUACAUCCACAUUACUUUGUUUUCGUUUUAAAACGCAAUGUGGCUGCUGUACCUCACAGAGGAGCAAGCUUACAGCAGAUGUGUAUUGCCACUGGAAAUUGUCAUCUGACGUUCUGGCCACCAUAAUCCAAAUGAGAAAAAAAGGUGGAUGAAGAUAUUGAUACAAUCACCUAGGUAACCCUCCGUAAUAACUUACCAGCAGCAGCUAGUAUUGUGUGGAUUUGUUUUCCAAACAUGUUAAACUCUGACCUCUGCCUGCCGUCACAAAAACUGGCACAAGCAGCCAGGCACAGAACGCACAAUGGAGGAAAAGCUGAUAUUGUGUGUGCCUUAAGUUUAGGUCGGUACAGAGACCUUGGUAUCUCAGGUGUGUUUUAACAGGCAGGUAGCUUGUUGUAGGUCGUGAAAAUGUGUAAACAUAGCUUAGAUUCAUGUACUACUUUUGUGUACUAAAACUUCAGUCACAGUGUAACAUACCUCCUCAGUGUAUUUGCCAACGUAGGAGUAAAUCUCACUGAGAGAGCUCAUGGUGUUGAACUCAUUCAUGUGCAUCCGUGACUGUUCUGCCAAGUAGGCAUUCAUGUCCUGGUCGCUGAUCGCUUGCAUCUUACUAAUGUCGGAGUAGUACCUGUUAAAAGAGAACAAAACAAAAGCAUCAACACUUGUUUACUGCCGAGAGACGAACAGAAAGAGAAACCCAGUGCUGUUCCUUGAAUAUAUUUAACUAAUGCAUGUUGCACAGAGGCAACAAGUGUGUUGCAUAGGCACUGAAAUGGAGUCGUGAUACACACCAACAGGCCCAAGGUUUCAUCUUUGAACACAACACACACACACACACACACACACACACACACACACACACACACACACACACACACUGCAUUGAGGUAAAGGCAAUCAGUCACUGUCAGCAGCAGCUGUGUUGCCGCUAUCAACUAUGUUAAUUAAAGCUGCUUAUUUACAUAUUAACUUCGUGGAGCCGCUAGAGGACAGGUCUGGUGUUUGGCUGGGUAACUCUGGUGUGAGAGGCGGAGACACUAUUUGCCAGGAAACGAGUCUUCAGAGCAAAGGAAAAGGCAGGUGGGUGUUGCUCAUAGCUUUUGCACAGAGGUCACACACACACACACACACACACACACACACACACUCACACACACACACACACACACACACACACACACACACACACACACACACACACACACACACACACACACACCUGUUCAGUGCUGGAGGGCAGUUGUAGAGAGCUCGGCACAGGGAUUGUUAGUGUAGAGACCAGGUGUGCUUGUCUUAGGAAAAAGGAUUUUAUAAACAAAGAGUCGCGAGGUUGUAGUGUAGAUGUAGUUAACCUACGACUUGCUGCACUUGCUUUUGAAUUGUUUGUAUUGUGUAUAUAUAUCAGUAACAGUUAUUUAUAAGCCAAUUAUUUCAGACAUGGGUUAGUUUUUUAAUCACUACAGCUGUAGCUUUUCAGCCUUCCAAUCUAUUUUCUAUUUCUGCAUCCACGUUGUGGCAAGAACAGGUUUGAGCUCUUUGGAAUUAAUUGGUAAGAAAAUGUGUUCUGAUCUCCAUCUAAGUCACGAAUAAAGAGUGCUGGUGGAAAAUGAGAGUGUGAACCCUUAGAUAAAGUGACUGGUCAAACCUCCAACAAGCACUUUUCUCUCGCUGCAGUUCAGGAAGAUUUUCCGAGCGUUCUUCCUGCAGAGCUGCUUCAGAUCAGACAUAUUCUUUGGAUGUCUGGUGUGAAGGGCUCUCUGAACUCAUUCCACAGCAUCUCUCCUGAGUUAAGGUCCGGACUCUGGACUGACCACUGCCAAUGGUGGAUUUUCUUUCUGAAGUCACUCUGUGGUAAAUUUACUCUGAUGUUCAGGGUCUUUGUCCUGUAAGAUAGGUCGAUAAACUUUCCCGUGACGAUGGCGAGUUGUCCGGACCCAGAAACAGAGGAGGGGUUCUCACACUUUUCAAACCUGCACUGUGAAUGUCCGAUGUAUUCAAUAUGGAAGAGAACAAUUCAAUGUUUAAUUUUUUAUUAAUUUCAACUUCGAUGAGCAACCGACCAUAUUUAAUUGUUUCAUGCCACUGUACAUUGUGGACAAAGGUUUUUUGGACUAGACAUUAAUCAAUUUGCACUUCUAUGGAAGAGGGUCACCUCUUUUUUGAAGAAUUAGUUAUUAACUAAUGCUAAUAAAUAUAAUAAAUGCUUUUACAAUUUCUGUCCUUCAUUCGGCAUUUUAAAUCUUCCUGAACUAUGUUCAUGUACACAUAAAAAUGUCAGCUGAAAAUUCUGCUUAUGCUGCACUGUACAAUAGAAGUUGCAGUAUUCUGUCCUCACAAAUCAUUUUUUCUGCUUACACUAUCUAAAUGUGUCCAUGCAUGAAUCAGCAGAGGACCCUCACAAUGUCCUCAUGCUUAUUUGUCUUUAUGAGACCACAUACAGACAAACAGGACUAAUGAGUGCAGUCCUGAGCCUGAAGCUCCUCAUUUGAUUCGACCCAUUCAAGCGGCACACACACACACAUUCUCAUCCCGAGGCUCGCCUUGUGAUGAAGCGGCUACAGACACGUAAAUACUCUGAACCAAUUCACAGAAGCCCAUCUUUUAUUCAGGACAGGGGAGACUCGCCUCCCCUGAUGACAAAUAAAUUUAAUAAAACUCUCAUUUUACAAAUUACCAGCUUCUGCUCCCUGCUACUCUCUCUCUUUUCCCCGACACACACUUCUGCAUCCUCCCAACACACACUCCUCUGUUCUGUAGAUCUCGUACCCUGGGCCCUCUCAUCUAUUCCUACUGUGUUGUAAUUUGGAUGUGUUUAAUGGCCCAUAGAUCACAGUGCUACAGUUGAGUGUGUUUUGAAUGAAACAUGGCUAAUGCAGGUCCCCCGCCCCCAUCCUCUCAUCAUCCAUCCCAUGUUUGAUGUGUCCACAUGUGUAUCCACAGCUUACCUCUCCACCCAGCUCUUGUA